AACGCACCUUGCGCUCCUUGGUAUUCCGAGGAGCAUGCCUGUUUGAGUGUCUUGAAGUCAUCAACUCCCUCCCGUUUUUCUGAACGGGGAGUGGUGUUGGAUUGUUGGGGGCAUAUGCGGCUGUGAAGCUGCUCCUCUCAAAUGCAUUGGUUUGGGCCUGUGGGUCAAACUCGGCUGUGCGUUGUACUAACCUCGCUCUGGCCAAGAUGGUUUACCCAUUAGUGCGCUCUUCCUGGACCCCCUGCCUCUUUAAAGUGAGGUGGUCAAGGAGCAAUGCUCCUUUUUCAUGAACCUCUGACCUCAAAUCAGGUAGGACUACCCGCUGAACUUAA
This 332-nucleotide unclassified non-coding RNA is filed under the name uncultured fungus. RNAcentral's name for it is "sequence contains ITS2". The stretch from base 1 to 52 matches the Rfam family "5.8S ribosomal RNA", at positions 103 to 154 of the family's 154-position model. Lineage: Eukaryota; Fungi. The record is from RNAcentral.